Long non-coding RNA from Marmota monax (woodchuck), 2209 nucleotides. RefSeq lists it as uncharacterized. NCBI's taxonomy places the organism in Eukaryota, Metazoa, Chordata, Mammalia, Rodentia, Sciuridae. The transcript has 2 exons. The record is from RefSeq and is a predicted model, not a curated record.
CCUUUUCUCUCUCGGUGGCAUUCUGUGAUAGCAGCAGAAAAUAGAUCAUGACAUCCCCGUUUUAGCAGCAAAGAAACGGAAGUUCAGAGAAGUUAAGGAACUUGUGCAAACUUCAAAAUUAGGAAGUGGUGGAGCUGGAGUUUGUGCCCAGAGCCAAGGCUCUUCGUCAUUAUCCCAUAAGGUGUCUCCUCUAAGAAAAUCAAUGAGGACCAAAUGCAUCCAUUACUCAAAGAGCAAGACUUCCCGGGGAACUGGAGCCGUCAAAGAGGUUCUCUGUCGAGUCAUCCAUUUGAGGGAGCCCUGAGGAUGAGGACAGCAGCCUGUCAGAGACACCACGUGCAUUGAUUUCAGCAGAGUUCAAAAACUUUUCACCACAUCCUCUUGGAUAGGACAGAACUGAUUGGGGGUUCUGCUGGUCACACUACCACCUCCAAUGUAUGUGGGUGAAGGAGCGGAUGUCAAUCUUAGGGGGAUCUCUAACAUGCUGCCUUGAGACCAUGGACUUUCUCAUGCCCUGUUCAACAUUUUACAGUCUUCUUGCUGUUGAUAUAACCUAGUAGCACAGACUGGGUAGUUUAUAGAGAUCUGAGGUUCAUUUGGCUCACAGUUCUGGAAGCUGGGAAGCUCCAAAACCUGGAGCUAGUGUCUGUUCAGCACCUGGCGAGGGCCUUCCUGCUGCAUCCUACAGCGAGAAAGCAUGUGUACUAGAUGGGACCUUUCUUCCCCUUUCUAAAGAGCCACGAAUACCAUCAUGGUGUCCCCACACUCGUGGCCUCAUCUAAUCCUAAUUACCUUCCAAAGGCUCCACCUCUAAUAUCAUCACCAUAUCAAUUUGGGAACUCUCCAGCAGGUGGAUUGGGAAGGAACAUUCUAACCAUCGCAAAUCAGAAGCCAUGCUUAUCAUUGUGGACCUUGUUCACAGUGAGGCCCAGGGACAGCAGACAACUAGCAUUGAUAUGUCAAAUUCUGUGUUCCUAAGGACUCUGGGUGAGCUAGAGCCAUGGCCAAAAUAGGCAUCUGCCUGAGAGGCAGUCUCUCCUGAAAGCAGAACACAGGGCUCUGGCAGAAUUUCCCUCCACAGUCCCAGGCCCUGGGGUGAAAGUACAAAUGCAGGCCAGCCAGGCACAGGCCCAAAUAUGUACAAGUCAUAAAUCAAGCUACCAAACAGCUUCAUAAAUUGUGUCCUAUCCUCCUGCCUUGAGAAGUAUACCUUAUUGUCAAGCCCAGGGUCAAAUUCAGAACUCUUAAGACUGCUUGAGUCUCAGUGCAACAACCUGAUCCAACAGGGCGAGCCAGCCAGUAGCCCCCUUCCCCCAGAGGUCAACACAUCUUUCCAUUUUGUAACCUAUUCCUGGACUUUUGGGCGACAUAUCUGCAGUUGCUUCCUCUUUCCUGCCUCACCAGUUAUGUCUGCCAUCAGUCCAUUUACCUGGCUCUGCCCUCCAGCUUCUCUCCAGUUCCUCAGUUUCUUCAGGCAAACACUGGUCUGGUGCCUACUUCUGGCACCGCCCCCUGGGAUGCGAAGAGAACCUGGUCAGUGGCUCCCUGCUUUCCAGCUCCCGGGUCUUCUGUGGUGAUCACCACCUCACCCCGACUACCCUCACCAAUCCGAGGCUCUUGACCUCGAUCAUAACCAGCCAAAGCCUACUUCUGCAGAUUUGGGGCAGCUGGAGUAGGAGGGAGUCUCACCCACUAGCAAUGCAUUUCUUUGAAUUCCAGUGUUUUUAUUUUUAGAGUUUUACAUGCUUUAAAAGAAAAGGUCUGAUCAUUGAAAUAUGAUUUAUGUAGAACACGAACUUCAAAAUGCAUUUAAAAAAUAAACAUUCAGCUUUGUGAAUUGUUAAAACAUAAGAAUAUAAGAUAAACAAAUGCCCCUGACCCCUGCCUUGUGCCUCGCUAUCUUCUCUCCAAAGGGAACAAACCACUCUUCUGGCCACAGAUACUAUUGUUUGGUUUUGCUGGUUUUUAAAUUUAAUGUAAAUAGAACCAAAGACUAUAAAUUCAUUUAUGCAUGGCUUCUUUCAUUCAAUAUGUAUAUGAGAUUCAUCUGCGACACUGUGUGUUGUUCUUGGUCACCAAUUUUUAAUGCUAGGUAGUAUUCCUAUUAUAGGAGUGCAUCUAAGUUUAUGUAUGCAUCUCAUUGAUGAUGACGUUGUACCCGAUGGUUGGUUGUUUAUCAACAACACGGCAAUAAACAUUCUUGUAAAUA